RNAcentral lists this unclassified non-coding RNA (277 nucleotides) under Tomentella stuposa. Its description in RNAcentral is "partial internal transcribed spacer region". The stretch from base 1 to 46 matches the Rfam family "Eukaryotic small subunit ribosomal RNA", at positions 1786 to 1831 of the family's 1831-position model. The record is from RNAcentral. Lineage: Eukaryota; Fungi; Basidiomycota; Agaricomycetes; Thelephorales; Thelephoraceae.
AAGUCGUAACAAGGUUUCCGUAGGUGAACCUGCGGAAGGAUCAUUACCGAAUUGUCAACAAGGGUUGUUGCUGGCCCCUGCAUGGGGGCAUGUGCACGCUCUGUUUACACAUCCACUCACACCUGUGCACCCUCUGUAGUUCUAUGGCCUGGGUGGCCCUGUCAUCCUGCUGUGGUUCUACGUAUUUACACACACGCAACGAAAUAAAGUCUAAUGGAAUGUAUGUCGCGUUUAACGCAAUGAAAUACAACUUUCAGCAACGGAUCUCUUGGCUCUC